This 253-nucleotide ribosomal RNA is filed under the name uncultured bacterium. Its description in RNAcentral is "partial 16S ribosomal RNA". It matches the Rfam family "Bacterial small subunit ribosomal RNA", at positions 524 to 776 of the family's 1533-position model. The record is from RNAcentral.
UACGAAGGGGGCUAGCGUUGUUCGGAAUUACUGGGCGUAAAGCGCGCGCAGGCGGUCUUCCAAGUCAGUGGUGAAAGCCUGGAGCUCAACUCCAGAACUGCCAUUGAAACUGUUAGACUUGAGUACGAGAGAGGUGAGUGGAAUUCCCAGUGUAGAGGUGAAAUUCGUAGAUAUUCGCAAGAACACCAGUGGCGAAGGCGGCUCACUGGCCCGGUACUGACGCUGAGGUGCGAAAGCGUGGGGAGCAAACAGG